RNAcentral lists this long non-coding RNA (424 nucleotides) under Homo sapiens (human). Its description in RNAcentral is "PREDICTED lncRNA (TCONS_00262075)". The record is from RNAcentral. Lineage: Eukaryota; Metazoa; Chordata; Mammalia; Primates; Hominidae.
UAGCAGUCACUCCCAAUUCUCUUCUUCCACCCAUUCCCUGGAAACCACUAAUCUACUUUCCGUCUCUUUGGAUUUAACUACUCAGGACAUUUUAUAUGAUGAAUCCAUUUGGAGAGGAAGCCUCAGGACUUCCAAGGACACGAACUUGUCAGGAUGCUCCCAGAACUGAUCAACAAAAAAGGAAAGAUCAAAAGAAAGAGAGAGAGAAAGAAAAGGAAGGAUGGAAGGAAGGAAGGAAGGAAGGAAAGAAGGAAGGAAGGAAGCAAACUGCGGAGAAACUCACAAUCCAGACAAGACGUCCGCUCAAUUUUGGAUUGUAUCAUUCCAGAAUUUUCCACAACAUACUUAAUUAGCCUCUAAUUUUUUUAAUAAAACAUUUCUAACAUUGUGCUAUUUUAAACCAUAAACAUUCUUAUAUCUUGAA